UCUCUGUUAAAAGGUUUUUAUUUAACGUUCUGAAUUCGAGGUAAAAUACUUUUAUUUUUCGCUUUUUUUUUUUAACUUUUUUCCGUGUUUUUUUUUUUUCAACUUCCAUAACAAAAUACGGAGCUAUGGGAUACCCCUGGAAAAAAAUAUGUAUAUUAUCCAUAAAUUUCUCUAGCAUUCCAUCAUAUAUAUAUAUAAUAUAUAUAUGCAACCCUUUCUUAAAUCUGAUUUUAAUAGAAAUCGGAAUUUAAUUUUAAAGGCACAAAUUUCGGAUUUUUUGUCUUUUUUUUUUUGUUUUGUUUUUUUUUUGCCCCUCUACUUUACACCCUAUGUACAAAGCCACGCUCCCCGUCCCCAAAUUCCAUCGAUUUUCCCGAAGGAUUCCUGCCGGAUUCCCACCGGGGAGAGUUCAAAUCCCUCAAAAUCCCUCGAAAAAGGGGUUUUUUCAACCCGAAAAAAAGCGUAAAUAUCGGUUUAAAAAGCGCUAAAAAAUCAAAGUAUUUCCCGGAAAAUCCAAAGUUUUUCCGGAGUUUUGAUGAUUUCAACCGAGAGAAAAUUCCUGGGUUUUUAUUUUUAAUCCCACCAGGAUGCUGAGACGCGAAAAAAAAGAAAGAAACCAACGGAAUAACAGCUUAAAAUAAUAAAAAACCUCAACAUAAUUAUGGAAUAAAUAAAAAAAUCCGGGACAACCCCAUUAAUGCUGUUGGAUUUUUCCUCCUUUUCCUCCUUCUUGGGGAAAUUCCUCCCCAAAAAUUGCCCCUGUUUGGGGCUGUCCCAUCAAAAAGUCUUUUUUUUUUUUUUUAACUUUUUGAUUUUUUAAACAUUUUUCCUACGGAUUUGCUACGAAAAAGAAGCAAAAUUAACGAAAAAAAAAAACAACUGCUGGAAAAAACGGGAUCAUGCUCCGGGGCAAAUUCGUCCAGGAGAGAAUUCCAACCAUUCCCAACUUCCCAUGGGUUUGUUUGUUGUUCAAUGGUUUGGCACGGUGGAAUUUUAGGAAUUUUUCCUUGAAAUUUCAGAUUUUUUUCAUAAAAUUUUGAUCUGGUUGAUUUUUUUUUCCUUUAAAUCAGUUUUUGGUUUUUUUUGACCUUUUCCUUCUCCUCUUCCUGCUUUUUCUUUUUGUUUUUCCUCCUCCUGGGCUCCGUUGGGAAUUCUGGAAUUCCCGAGAGGCGCCGGAUCCGUCGUCCUGAGUCCGGAAUUCCCUGAACUCUCCCAAGUUUUUUAUUUUCAUUUCCACUUUUAAUCUUGGUUUUGUUUUUUGUUUUUUUUUUUUUUGCAGUGCAAUGGCUGUGACGAGAAACUCCAACAUUCCCACCCUUCCCAAAAAACUCGCAAUCCCAAAAAAUCCUUUUUUAAAGCCACAAAAAUUCCAACUUUUUUUCCUUCUCUUCCCGUGGGAUUUUGAUUCCAAAGGAUUGGAGAGGAGGGGUGGGAAAAAUCCGGGAUUUUCCCCCCUUUUUUUGUUUUUGUUUCUCCCGACGGUUCCGGCGCUGGGAUUUGGGAUCUGCGGGAAUUCCGGGAAAGGCCCCUCGUGUGAUUCCUGAGUUCGUCCUGGCGCCUCUCCGGUCGCUUUUUUGGGAUCAUCCAGGGCUUCUCCACCCCAGCUCCUCCCAACUGCACAUUCCAAGGGUCCCAGGCCCGGCCGGGCUGGGAAUUUGGGAAUCGCUCCCGGGAUCCCAGCAGGGAAUUUCCUCCCCCAGCCCGGAAUUCCCAAAAUCCGAGCUCCGAGAGCGAAUCCUGGGCAGCUCCCGGCUCCGUCCCGGCGCUUCCCGAGGGUCGGUCCCGCUGGGAGCCCAAUCCGGAGCCUUCGGAAUUCCGCUGCUGCGCGGGGGAACGGCGGCGUUUGGGAUUUCCCCCCAAAAACCAGGAAGGAUCCACGACAUCCGAGCGCUCCCGGAAAAAAUUCCCAGAAAAAGUCCAAACGUGGUUUGUUUUUCUUUUCUUUAAGGCAUGAGUCAAACGGGGAGAAAAGGGCGGGGGAGGGUCCAAAAAUCUGGGAAUGGUGCCGGGAAUUCCGGCAUUCCCGGGGACUCACCACAAUCAUUCCAGCGCUCCUUCCAAGCAUUCCCAAAAAUUCCACCCACACGGAUUCCGGAGCGGGGAAAAAAUCCCCGCUCCGGGCACACAGAAACAAAAAAAACCAAACCCCAACAUAUUUAAUGCGUUAGGAUUAAAGGCAUCCGGUUAAUUUUGUGUUAUUUCCCGUUCCCAUUCCCUGAAAAAGUUUGGAGUUUUGCUCAUGGCUUUCUGAGAGAGAGAGAGAGAGAGAGAGAGAGAGAGAGAAAGAAAGGCGGGAAAAGGGGAAUUUUCCCCGGAAAUCCGCCGCGGGAACGACGCGGCCUCCAUCCCGAUUCUCCGAGAGUUUUUCCUGAAUCCUUUUCCCCCCCGCCCCAGCCCCGCUCCGUGGACAGUGCAAAAUUCCCGAUGCAAAAUUCCCAAGCUCCUCCUUUUCCCAAAAAAACAAAAAAAAAAAACAAAAAAAAAAAAAAG
This is a long non-coding RNA of Taeniopygia guttata (zebra finch), 2490 nucleotides long. The record is from Ensembl. Lineage: Eukaryota; Metazoa; Chordata; Aves; Passeriformes; Estrildidae.